Molecule: ribosomal RNA, 253 nt
Filed under: uncultured bacterium
Lineage: Bacteria
Description: partial 16S ribosomal RNA
Rfam family: Bacterial small subunit ribosomal RNA
Source: RNAcentral
UACGUAGGGGGCAAGCGUUGUCCGGAUUUAUUGGGCGUAAAGAGCGUGUAGGCGGUUUGGUAGGUCCGCUGUGAAAACUCGAGGCUCAACCUCGAGACGCCGGUGGAAACCAUCAGGCUAGAGUCCGGAAGAGGAGAGUGGAAUUCCUGGUGUAGCGGUGAAAUGCGCAGAUAUCAGGAAGAACACCCGUGGCUAAGGCGGCUCUCUAGUACGGUACUGACGCUGAGACGCGAAAGCGUGGAGAGCGAACAGG